RNAcentral lists this ribosomal RNA (122 nucleotides) under Lepisosteus oculatus (spotted gar). The record is from RNAcentral. Lineage: Eukaryota; Metazoa; Chordata; Actinopteri; Semionotiformes; Lepisosteidae.
AUCAGCUGCCAUAUCGCUCUGCAACUCACUGAAGCCACUGACCCACUGAAGCUAAGCAGGUGUGAGCCUGGUCAGUACCUGGAUGAGAGACCUCCUGGGAAAAACUAAGGUUGCUGCUGGAG